Molecule: small nuclear RNA, 104 nt
Organism: Cervus hanglu yarkandensis (Yarkand deer)
Lineage: Eukaryota; Metazoa; Chordata; Mammalia; Artiodactyla; Cervidae
Source: Ensembl
GUGCUUGCUUCAGCACAUACACUAAAAUUAAAACUAUACCGAGAAGAGUAACAUGGCUCCUGCAGGAGGGUAACAUGAAAAUUCAUGAAGCAUUCCAUAUUUUU